RNAcentral lists this ribosomal RNA (240 nucleotides) under uncultured bacterium. RNAcentral's name for it is "partial 16S ribosomal RNA". It matches the Rfam family "Bacterial small subunit ribosomal RNA", at positions 96 to 334 of the family's 1533-position model. The record is from RNAcentral.
CGGCGGACGGGUGAGUAACGCGUGAGGAACCUGCCUCAAAGAGGGGGACAACAGUUGGAAACGACUGCUAAUACCGCAUAAGCCCACGGCUCGGCAUCGAGCAGGGGGAAAAGGAGUAAUCCGCUUUGAGAUGGCCUCGCGUCCGAUUAGCUAGUUGGUGAGGUAAUGGCCCACCAAGGCGACGAUCGGUAGCCGGACUGAGAGGUUGAACGGCCACAUUGGGACUGAGACACGGCCCAG